AGAGUUUGAUCCUGGCUCAGGAUGAACGCUGGCGGCGUGCUUGACACAUGCAAGUCGAACGGGAAUAUCGCAAGGUAUUCUAGUGGCGGACGGGUGAGUAACACGUAGUCAACCUGCCCUGAAGCGGGGGAUAACUCCGGGAAACUGGAGAUAAUACCGCGUAAUGUCCCGGAAGGGAAGAAAGGCAAGGCUUCGCAAGAGGCCGGCCACUUUAGGGGGGGUCUGCGGCCUAUCAGCUAGUUGGUGGGGUAACGGCCUACCAAGGCGAAGACGGGUAGGGGGCGUGAGAGCGUGGUCCCCCACACUGGCACUGAGAGACGGGCCAGACUCCUACGGGAGGCAGCAGUGAGGAAUAUUGGGCAAUGGGCGCAAGCCUAACCCAGCAACGCCGCGUGGGCGAAGAAGGUCUUCGGAUCGUAAAGCCCUUUUGUGAGGGACGAGGAAGGACGGUACCUCACGAAUAAGCCUCGGCUAACUACGUGCCAGCAGCCGCGGUAAAACGUAGGAGGCAAGCGUUAUCCGGAUUUACUGGGCGUAAAGGGCGUCUAGGUGGUUGGGAAAGUUGGCUGUGAAAGCUCCUGGCUCAACUGGGAGAGGUCAGUCAAAACUACCUGACUUGAGGGUCGGAGAGGGGUGUGGAAUUCCCGGUGUAGCGGUGGAAUGCUUAGAGAUCGGGAGGAACACCAGUGGCGAAGGCGACACCCUGGCCGACAACUGACACUGAAGCGCGAAAGCGUGGGGAGCAAACAGGAUUAGAUACCCUGGUAGUCCACGCUGUAAACGAUGAUGACUGGGUGUGGGAGGUAUUGAACCCUUCCGUGCCGAAGCAAACGCGAUAAGUCAUCCGCCUGGGGAGUACGGCCGCAAGGUUAAAGCUCAAAGGAAUUGACGGGGGCCCGCACAAGCAGCGGAGCGUGUGGUUUAAUUCGAUGCGACACGAAGAACCUUACCCGGGUCUGACAUGUACGUGGUACCGAAGCGAAAGCGGAGGGACUCGCAAGAGAGCGUGCACAGGUGCUGCAUGGCUGCCGUCAGCUCGUGCCGUGAGGUGUUGGGUUAAGUCCCGCAACGAGCGCAACCCCUGCCGUUAGUUAGAUAUGUCUAACGGGACUGCCGCGAUCAACGCGGAGGAAGGUGGGGACGACGUCAAGUCAGCAUGGCCUUUAUAUCCGGGGCUACACACACGCUACAAUGGCCGGUACAGAGGGUCGCGAAGCCGCAAGGUGAAGCCAAUCUCACAAAGCCGGUCUCAGUUCGGAUUGGGGUCUGCAACCCGACCCCAUGAAGGUGGAGUUGCUAGUAACUGCAGGUCAGCUAUACUGCAGUGAAUGCGUUCCCGGGCCUUGUACACACCGCCCGUCACGUCAUGGGAGUUGGCAACACCCGAAGCCGGUAGCCGAACCGCAAGGGAAGCACCGUCGAAGGUGGGGCCAGCGACUGGGACGAAGUCGUAACAAGGUA
This 1461-nucleotide ribosomal RNA is filed under the name metagenome. Its description in RNAcentral is "bacterial SSU rRNA". It matches the Rfam family "Bacterial small subunit ribosomal RNA". The record is from RNAcentral.